This 68-nucleotide transfer RNA is filed under the name Gonatocerus sp. ZCS-2018. RNAcentral describes it as "tRNA-Ser". The record is from RNAcentral. Lineage: Eukaryota; Metazoa; Arthropoda; Insecta; Hymenoptera; Mymaridae.
AAUUAAUGAACUUGAAUAAGUAUAUGUUUUGAAAACAUAAUAUAGAAAUUUUAACUUUCUAUUAAUUU